This 68-nucleotide transfer RNA is filed under the name Proechimys goeldii. Its description in RNAcentral is "tRNA-Tyr". It matches the Rfam family "tRNA". From Rfam's summary of the family: Transfer RNA (tRNA) molecules are approximately 80 nucleotides in length. Their secondary structure includes four short double-helical elements and three loops (D, anti-codon, and T loops). The record is from RNAcentral. Lineage: Eukaryota; Metazoa; Chordata; Mammalia; Rodentia; Echimyidae.
GGUAGGAUGGCUGAAGUAAGCAUUAGACUGUAAAUCUAAAGAUAAAGGUUAUACCCCUUUUCUUACCA